This 419-nucleotide ribosomal RNA is filed under the name uncultured bacterium. Its description in RNAcentral is "bacterial SSU rRNA". It matches the Rfam family "Bacterial small subunit ribosomal RNA", at positions 355 to 772 of the family's 1533-position model. The record is from RNAcentral.
UAGGGAAUAUUGGACAAUGGGUGCGAGCCUGAUCCAGCCAUGCCGCGUGCAGGAAGAAGGCCUUCUGGGUUGUAAACUGCUUUUGCCAGGGGAUAAAACGUCUCUGCGGAGAUAAUUGAAGGUACCUGGUGAAUAAGCCACGGCUAACUACGUGCCAGCAGCCGCGGUAAUACGUAGGUGGCAAGCGUUGUCCGGAUUUAUUGGGUUUAAAGGGUGCGUAGGUUGUUCUAUAAGUCAGUGGUGAAAUACGGCAGCUUAACUGUCGAGGUGCCAUUGAUACUGCAGAACUUGAGUACAGACGAGGUAGGCGGAAUUGACGGUGUAGCGGUGAAAUGCUUAGAUAUCGUCAAGAACACCGAUAGCGAAGGCAGCUUACUAGACUGUAACUGACACUGAGGCACGAAAGUGUGGGGAUCAAA